UUAUACGUACGUCCGACAUAUCCGAUACCGACAAGGCUGGACUGGAAACCGCGGACGUGACCAUCAUGGGGGUGACUGUUGCUGUUGUUGUGGCCAUUGCCAUUGCCGAGGCUGCUGCUGUGGUCGUAAUGGCUGUCGCCAUGUUGGUUACUGUGGUUGUUGUUGUUGCCAUAGCCGAUGUGGUCGGAUCAGGAACCUCACUAGUGUAACUAUUUGCUCUGGUAUUGACCAUUAAACCUACUCCAACCUAUAACCUAUACUACUAAUUAAACUUGAUGACAAUUCCAAAUUACCAAAUUCAGCCAACUCAAACUCUAAAUACACUAAUUAUGUCUUCUUCUUUAAACGCAGAUAUGAAAACCAAAAUUCACAAACAAGGUAGAAAGUGUAGUGCAUAUAUCCUACUACAAGGUGGGGAACAAGUGAGAGAAGAGCAAAUCUAAGCGGAUAAGCGAAGCAUUCUAAGUUUCCAAAUAGGACUUCUCCAAACGUAUCCGGAAACUGCUUUCUCUGCCGUAAUGUAUUGUAUGACCCUGAGAUGCUGUAGUAUAUUGGUAUUACGUUUGCUACCUACGGACAUAACCACACGGCUGUUGUUGAAAACAUAAAGAUAAACCCAACAACGUCUCAUGUGCUUUGGCUCAUGGGUAUGAUUGUAUUAAGCGGACGGACAGGCCCGUCGCAAACGAAAUGCGGAUACCAAAAUCCUUAAACUUCGUGACUUACGGGAGUUAAAGAUUAGUAAAACACCGUGCCACAUCCUGCAUCUAACCAGCUUCCAGUCACCACCAGUUUGGCACGCGAUCCAAGCUUUUGAAAACUUACGAUCGGGACUCAAUCCGGUAACCGAAAUCCGAUCAGUUGCUGGCUGUGGCGAUAAAAUGAUGCGGUCAACCCGAUAACUCGGGCCCCAUGUUGCGGGCGCCAUUCUUGUCGUGGACCCCGGAGGGUCCGAACUGUCUCAGCGGAGAAAGGGGACAUAGUGUGCUGGCGAGCGCUGGCUGUUGGCGUUAGAGCUCCGGCUGUGGCUCAGUCUGGGGCGCGGUUCUUGCCAACACACCAUGUCCAGAGACAGGUGACCAAAAAUUCAAAUUUCAAACCAGCUCUGGAUGGAAAUGAAAAACACAGGGUCCCACUUAUGUUAAGGCAGGCAUGUCUUUCGCCUUCUUACUCGCACCUUCCGCUAUGGAUUCGCUCUUCAGGGGGCACUGAGACAUCCUACAGUGCCCUGGACGGCCCACCCCAACCAUGGUAUCCGUUGUCCAACAGUUUUGGAUACCCCAGAAUCGGUCUCCCUUAUCCCCCCCUACAGCUUGGUGCACUACCCCCUUCUUACCUUAAAUAACUACUCCUCCAUUGUGAAAUGAAAACUAGGCAAAGGCGAAUUUCAUUUCAAACGUUAUAAACGGUAUGUAUUUAUUAAGCCAAAUCAAAAAUUCAUUGCCAGACAAAGUUCAAUCAAACGAAAAAGCAAAGAAAACAAAACAAGGAAUUGCAUAGUGGCAAUAAAAAAAAACUUCAAUUAUAUAGACUCCUCUCCUUCAAAGAGAAAAAUAGUAAUAAAAUUCUCCUUCCUCCACAGGUGUAUUGGGUCUUCUCUUGGUGUCUGGCCUUCCUUCAGGGUCGUCUCUCCUAACUGGAGUCAGUGCUGGGGCGGCUGAGCAGUGCCCACGCUUUCCUCUUGUCUGUCCGUCCGUCUGGUUGUGGCCUAAGUUCGCAAAGCGAACACCAACAGCAGUAAGGGCUCCUUUCCGCCCCAAAGGUCUAGAAUCUUUACCCCCUGGCCCUAGGUUGAGCUCGACCUAACAGCUGAGGACAGCGCCUAUUUAUUCUAGCGCUGUGUUACUUAUAGAAAGGAAAUAUGUGUGUCAAGGUCCUGUCCGUCCGUCUAAGUUCACGUAUACGUCCCGCAAUAGUGUUUGUGAGGAAAAGGGUACCUGCAGCACUGUCGGCUGACCAGUGCUUUUGAUAUAGAGCUUCCCACGAUGGACAGAGGAGGUGGAGGUGUAGCUUUAUGUUUUCGCGCUUGGCUUUUUGUUAUUUUGUGAUCAACUUUAGUGGUGUCUAUUGUCUUUGAUUUUCAAGUUUAGGAUUUUUAACUAUUGACUUUGAUUUGGUUUUUAGUUUUUUUUCUUUUCAGGUCUUUUAUUAUUACAUUGGUAUUUCCUUUUUUUUUCAGGUUCUUUGGCUUUGUUUCGAAACUUUUCCCUUUUCAGGUUCCUUUUUAUUUAAUUUGAUAACAUUUCUUUUUUUUUUCCAGAGUUUUCAUAGAUUUUCUUUUUCAGCUUUUAAUAACUUUCAGUUCGAUUUAUUUUAAUCACCUUUUUUUUUCAUAAUCUUCUUUUUCAGCUCUUUAGUUUUCUUAAUUUGUAUUUAUUUUCAUUUAUUUUGUUACAGCUUUUAAAACUUCUCAAUAAUUUAUAGUUAAUUUUUUUCCUCUUUCAGCAAAUGUGCUGAAAGUUCAAUAAAUCACUUUAAAACUUUGAAUUUGGUCUUUUUCUUUGUUGUUGGGUAAAAGCCAGUUCCGCCUCCUUUUCUCUGCCGAAUCCAAAACCAAAAAAAAACCUUCUCUCUUUUUGAAAACACCACUUUCUACACUCCUGAUGACACCACCUCUUACUGCUUGCACGGCUCCAUCCAAAAAGAACUCGUCAUCUUCCCUUUACUGUCCAUCAUGGUUCCCCCAAGCCAUCAUGUCCACCGAGGAACCAUCAUAAAAUUUUGUUUUCCAAAAUAGCAAAAACAAACAACAUAUGGUUUCCUCGAUUUUCAUUGUAGUAGUUACCUUUGUAUGUGGAGGUAACAUAUGCUGGUAUCGCAGGGUUGCAUUCACCAGCUGCCAUAAAAAAAACAGACUGUUCAAACCCAGAUGUCGCUCUUCUCUAAUCAGACAUAGGGUGACACGCUACACUUAUUU
This is a long non-coding RNA of Stomoxys calcitrans (stable fly), 2917 nucleotides long. RefSeq lists it as uncharacterized. The record is from RefSeq and is a predicted model, not a curated record. The transcript is spliced from 4 exons. Lineage: Eukaryota; Metazoa; Arthropoda; Insecta; Diptera; Muscidae.